AACGAACGCUGGCGGCAUGCCUAACACAUGCAAGUCGAACGAAGCCUUCGGGCUUAGUGGCGCACGGGUGCGUAACGCGUGGGAAUCUGCCCUUCGGUUCGGAACAACAGUUAGAAAUGACUGCUAAUACCGGAUGAUGACGUAAGUCCAAAGAUUUAUCGCCGAAGGAUGAGCCCGCGUAGGAUUAGCUAGUUGGUAAGGUAAAAGCUUACCAAGGCGACGAUCCUUAGCUGGUCUGAGAGGAUGAUCAGCCACACUGGGACUGAGACACGGCCCAGACUCCUACGGGAGGCAGCAGUGGGGAAUAUUGGACAAUGGGCGAAAGCCUGAUCCAGCAAUGCCGCGUGAGUGAUGAAGGCCUUAGGGUUGUAAAGCUCUUUUACCAGGGAUGAUAAUGACAGUACCUGGAGAAUAAGCUCCGGCUAACUCCGUGCCAGCAGCCGCGGUAAU
This 450-nucleotide ribosomal RNA is filed under the name uncultured bacterium. Its description in RNAcentral is "bacterial SSU rRNA". It matches the Rfam family "Bacterial small subunit ribosomal RNA", at positions 29 to 524 of the family's 1533-position model. The record is from RNAcentral.